AGAGCAAAAAAAACAAGGCAUCAGUAUUGUUGAGUAUUAGCUUGUACCUGGUUCGGAGGCUAAGUUUGCGGGAGAAAGCAGGGGUGAGCCACGGUGGCUGCCUGGCUGUGCACCGGGGCCGGAGGUUGGACCAAGACAAAGACAGGAGCUGUCCGCGGUGCUGAAUCGGCGGCGCCGCCGCCGGGGCAAGAGGGCUUCUGUAACCAGCCCUCUGCUCAUUCGCUCCCCAUCCUUCUAACUCCCCUUCGCUCUGUGACUCUUGCCUUCCCCUGAAUUUAUUUCCCUUUUGGGGGGCUCACCUUAGGAUCUGCGCCCUGUACACAGGUGUAUAUACAUAUAUCAAAGAACAAAACGAUUGAUUGAAAACGGUGUCUUCUCCUUUCUUCCCAAAUAAAUGAUGCUAGAAAGGUUUAUUUUAACUGUACUCUAAAAUGGAGAGAAACGGACAUUUCCACUCCUAAAUAAAUGAAAAUUCGUGUUAAAAACAAUGCAACUAACCUAUAACAAAUGCCAAGAAUCUGCCCUCUGAUUUAUUCCGAUAAAGAGGCAAGGGGUUUAGAAAUUUUAGUUUCGGGAAUAUCAUAUCCCUGGCAUCUUAACUUCUUGGGUAGAAAAAAUAAGAGCUGGAGGUGGGGGGGAUUGGUGAUGAACAGACUAAGGCACCUGCCUACGUGAAGAAAGAUGGCUUGUGAAGGCCAAAGUGAUGGACAUGAAGUUGACUUAACCCUUUGAGACAGAGAUGAGAUCUGUAAGGAUGUCAAUCUUCAGGAUCAGUAGUAAGAGGGAAGUGAUUCCUUUGGAAAGUUUGGGUACAAAAGAGUUAAUCUGGUGCUUAAUUUUCUAAAUGUUCAUGGUGUUACCUAGACACCUGGCAUGGUGCCUAACCAAGUGUGUUCCUGUGUUCAAAUUAGUAUGCAGUACUUGCCUAAAUAAGUAUGUGCAGGGUAGAAAAAAAAUCACAUUUUCCCUCCCUCGUGAGGGAGCACCCAUUUUAGUGCACGGAGAGCUGUGUAUGUUUCCUCUGGCAUCUCAUAGAUACACUGUCUCCCACAGAGCCCAGAUGCUUUAGGGCCACAUCUUCAUUUUGUCUUCUCAGCACCCUCCAGGCCUCCCCACUACAGGGGUGUCAGCUAUGCCCAGUCGUUAGGAUUGCCAAUACAUAUGAAGGGGGAGGGGUACUUAUGAGUCCAGUGGAAUACAAUAACUCCGGCUCCCUACCUGAACAUUGUAGAGCUAAUUUGCCCAUAAAAGCAGAGGAACCAGAAUUCUCAAACCCAAAGGAUUUGCAAUAAAGGGUUGUAUCUUUGGGUUAGGGGAGUGAGACUCCAGUUUCUCCAGACCCUAACUCUUAUCUUUUCAUGUAAACACCCUUAGAUCUUUAAUUAGGACCAAGGUGGUCACUCUUUUGGACCAUGCACCUCUAUCGCUCUCAGAAUGCAGAGCCACAUGGUACUGGGAGAGACGUCUUGACCUUGGGUGUCUCUCAAACAAAAAAGAUACAUUUUGUUUAAAAACCAUUUAUUUCAUGAUCAUUCUGCGCAUCUGGUUCCUUGGUCUUCAUUGCAAAUCUAAAAAUUAGUAGAUAUAGAUCAUGGUCCUAUUUUAUGGGUGAGGAAACUGAGGGCCCAGAAAUGCUUAUUAAGUUGCUUAUAGGUAUGCUGUGAAGGCCUGUGAUUCUAACCCAGACCUCACUGGCUUUGGAGACUGUGCUUACUCUAAUAACCCAUGAUAUUACAGCCACACAGACGGUUACAUUGUGGUUACAAUGGUGUAUAUAUAUAUAUUUUUUAGCACAGUCCCAUUGAAUUCCCUGGACCUCAUGGUCUGUGGUCUAGACUUGAAUUUAGCUUAAGUCCUAAAUUUGAAAAGAAGGAGUGAAAAUGGUGAGGACAGAGGCUCUCAUUUCAUGUGGGUUGGGUGGGCAUUUCACAGAAUGGGACCAGCUUAAUGUGAAAAUCUCUUGGACCCACACUUAGGAGUCAUCCUUGAUUUCCCCUUUCUCUCCUGCCUCACAUACAAUCCACCAGCAAGUUCAGUUAGCUCUGCCUCCAAAAUAUAUUCCAACCCAUCUAAUUCUCAUCUUCUCCUCCAUUAUCACCCCGGUGCAAGCCACUACCAUCUCAUCUGUUUUAUAGCAGUAGCCUCCUGACCGGGCUCCCUGAUUCUUCUAUCCUUGCCCUCGUCUGUAAUCUGCUCUCCACACUAUAACUAAACUUAUAUUUUAAAAUCAUAAAUCAGGUUUUGUCAUUCUGCUUUUAACCCUCCAACAACUCCCCAUUGCACUUAGAAUAAAAUCCAUACUCCUCACCCUGGUCUGCAGGGCUCCUUGUGAUUGGUUUUUGCUCACCUCGCCCCCACCCCCGCUGUGGCUCACACAGACCUAGUUUUUCUCACCUCAAGACCUUUGCACUUGGCUUCCCCUCUGCCCUCAGAUUCUUACACGGUUGGCUCCCUUUUGUCAUUUAGAUCGCAGCUCAAAUGUCAACUCUUCGAAGAAACCUCUCCUGACCACCUUGUCUAAAAGCACACCAUCCCCAGUCACUGUCUAGCCCUCCUCUCUGUCUAUUUUCUUUGUAGCUUUUAUCAAUAUCUAGAAUUAUUCUAUUUAUAUGUUUAGGUGCAUAUUGUCUGUAUUUCUUAAUAAAAUAUCAGUUCCAU
Molecule: long non-coding RNA, 2658 nt
Filed under: Macaca mulatta (Rhesus monkey)
Lineage: Eukaryota; Metazoa; Chordata; Mammalia; Primates; Cercopithecidae
Description: lncRNA (ENSMMUG00000058827.1)
Source: RNAcentral